CCCUUAGAUGUCCGGGGCUGCACGCGCGCUACACUGAAGGAAUCAGCGUGCUAAAACCAUUGUCGAAAGGCAUUGGUAAACCCAUUAAAAUCCUACGUGAGUGGGAUCGGGAAUUGCAAUUAUUUCCCUUGAACGAGGAAUUCCCAGUAAGUGUGGGUCAUAAGCUCGCGUUGAUUACGUCCCUGCCCUUUGUACACACCGCCCGUCGCUGCCCGGGACUGAGCCGUUUCGAGAAAAGCGGGGACUGCUGCUGUCGGGGCUUUCGGGCCUUGGCUUCGGUGGAAACCGCUUUAAUCGCAGUGGCUUGAACCGGGCAAAAGUCGUAACA
RNAcentral lists this ribosomal RNA (328 nucleotides) under uncultured eukaryote. RNAcentral describes it as "partial 18S ribosomal RNA". It matches the Rfam family "Eukaryotic small subunit ribosomal RNA", at positions 1470 to 1796 of the family's 1831-position model. The record is from RNAcentral.